CAGGUAUAGUUUAAUGGUAGAACUAAAGCUUCCCAAGCUUUUGGCGCGAGUUCGAUUCUCGUUACCUG
This 68-nucleotide transfer RNA is filed under the name human gut metagenome. It matches the Rfam family "tRNA". From Rfam's summary of the family: Transfer RNA (tRNA) molecules are approximately 80 nucleotides in length. Their secondary structure includes four short double-helical elements and three loops (D, anti-codon, and T loops). RNAcentral also lists the same sequence under 1 other name. The record is from RNAcentral.